RNAcentral lists this long non-coding RNA (1588 nucleotides) under Scleropages formosus (Asian bonytongue). RNAcentral describes it as "lncRNA (ENSSFOG00015032997.1)". Lineage: Eukaryota; Metazoa; Chordata; Actinopteri; Osteoglossiformes; Osteoglossidae. The record is from RNAcentral.
AGACAAUGGAAAUUGUCCUAAUGGGACGUUUGUAAGGAGCAUGGAAUUCGACACCGACUAAAUAUGUACACUGUGAAUACACAUAAAGUAAACAAUCUGUUUCAGAAUUACUAGCACAUGAUGACAUGUGUGAAGCUGGGUUCAUUGAAAAAUGUGAAAGGUGGUCGUUUAUUUUUUUUGAUUGUAAGUGAAUGUGUCGAUCACGCUCUUUGAAAGGCACGUAAAGCGACACCCAGACAAAAGGCUCACGAGCUCCGCAGUAAGAGAUGCGCUGCACGUGCUGCGUGACGUGUAUAACCAACGUUACAGCGAACGUUCCAUCGACCAUCCGUGCCCGUUUUUUCUUUUUGAUUCAUAAACAAGCGCUUCGAUCAGGAUUCGCGAAGUCAUCGCAACCGCCCAUCGGAGUUUUUAUAAUAUAUUAUGGCGUUACCAAAACACAAGUCUCGGGCCCCGGUGACGCGAAACUGCGGAUUUUGAAAAAAUUUUUCAUUUCGGCGCGAUUCCAGCGACACUCAACACGGAGAAAAUGAGUUCUCUGCUCCAGCAACGAGAAGAGGGUCGCCACUUUUUUGGCGAUGAUUUUCCAGUGAUAAUGAGUGAAGACGAAGAGUCUUUAAAUGAGACAACAGAUGGCUGGCAGGAGCCUCAAGAAGACAGCAGCAGUGCCCACGUGGCUUCUGGGGACCUCACUGAAUGGAAGCCUGUCGACUGCUCAGAGAGUGGCGCCGUCUCCCGUACUGCCGCACCGCUCGCUGAGAGCGGAGGGACCCAGGAGUCAGUCAAGACUGAAGACAAUAAGGACACUGUGAACCAUGUGUGGCAGCACUGCUAUGAUACAGCGGAAAAUACACCAAAUUGCAGUUACCGUUUGAGAUCUCACGCAGAUGAGAAGCUAUACGUGUGUCUCGUGUGCUCUAAGUGUUUUUGCACCCGGAGCCAGCUCACUCGCCACUAUCAAGCAUGUAUCUUCGCCGACUCGGAACAAUAUGACAAACAUGCUGCUACAGAGCUGAAGAGUGAGUCUGAGGAGUCUUCUCCUAGCUCUGACUCAUGCUCGCCAUUAAUGCUGAAGUACACCUGCCAAAUAUGCUUUUAUGCUACUGGUAGUUUGGCACAUUUUAAUUGCCAUUUAAGAACACACAGGGGUGAGAAACCAUACGUGUCUCGUACCUGGAGCCAUCUGAUCCGACACAUUCGGACGUGCAACUAUAGAGACCUCUCCAGUCUUGCUUUAAAGAUGCAGACGUGUGAGUUUUGCAAGUACACCACUAAUUCCCCAUAUAACUUAGAGGUCCACAAGCGAAUCCAUGCAGGCCAGUGAUGUGUAUGAUGUGUAAAGCUGAGUUCCGCACAUAAAGCCAUCUUCACUGCUGCAAUAGGAGCCAUAUAAAGAAAUCGGAAUAGCUAAUGUACUUGCAGUGGCUCAACUUGAAAUAGUCCAAAAAUGGCCUGAAGUCUAACACCCAAACUAAUACUUUAUCUAUAAUACUAAUACUGAUACUAAUACUUAGAAGUAAUAGUUUUCUUCUUUUCAAAAUCCUAGUUGAAAUUUGAAAAUAAAUUUCAAGCUUUGACCCUGAUUUCA